UUAUGGCACGAAGCCUGCUUCGGCAGGUGGAGAGCCAUANCUUAGUGGCGAACGGGUGAGUAAUACAUAGGUAACCUGCCCUCAGGAUGGGGAUACUCCCGGGAAACCGGGCACAAUACCGAAUAUGAUUCCGGGGUGAAAUGCCCAGGGAUAAAAGCUGCGAGCAAUCGUGGCGCCUGAGGAGGGGCCUGUGGCCUAUCAGCUUGUUGGUGAGGUAACGGCUCACCAAGGCCAAGACGGGUAGCCGGACUGAGAGGUCGAUCGGCCACACUGGAACUGAGACACGGUCCAGACUCCUACGGGAGGCAGCAGUGGGGAAUUUUGCGCAAUGGGCGAAAGCCUGACGCAGCGACACCGNGUGGGGGAAGAAGGCCUUCGGGUUGUAAACCCCUUUCAUGAGGGAAAAAGUUCCGGGUAACCGGAAUGAUGGUACCUCAAGAAGAAGCCACGGCUAACUCUGUGCCANCAGCCGCGGUAAGACAGAGGUGGCAAGCGUUGUUCGGAUCUACUGGGCUUAAAGGGCGUGUAGGCGUCCUGAUAAGUCAGAUGUGGAAGCCUUGGGCUCAACCCAAGAAUUGCAUUUGAUACUGU
RNAcentral lists this ribosomal RNA (591 nucleotides) under uncultured bacterium. Its description in RNAcentral is "bacterial SSU rRNA". It matches the Rfam family "Bacterial small subunit ribosomal RNA", at positions 48 to 636 of the family's 1533-position model. The record is from RNAcentral.